UUUAACAUGCGAUCGCGCGUCAACAUCGGACGCUAUGGCACACUCGUGCCUUAUGUGCCACCGAAGCCCCGAAGUGAUCUGGCAUAUACCUUCACAUGUUUCCCUUCAGUAGGAAAUUGCUGGACAGGCGGACCAGCGCACCGGAAUUGUACUGGCGAAGCCACAAGCAACUCAUAGAAUCUGUUUAAUUCUUGCACUUUGAACAAUCAUGCUUCUACAAAGGCCACAGCAAAAAAACAGCCUGAUGCCGAGUAUUUCUGUGCCGCGAACUAAUCAAGAGGCGAGUGCCUAAUGCGGACGAAAUCGAGUGCAUCGAGACUUAGAACGACAGAAAGCUGAGCUAGUUGGUAAGGAUUCAUUAUGCAAAACAGAGGUGAGGCGUGCAGACAGGACGCAAGAGUAGAGAAGUGGGCGGCGUUCGUGUUGUUUGCUUGUAAAUACUCUACUCUUGUGUCCUGUCUGCACGCCUCACCUCCGUUUUGCAUAACGAGUGCGUCAACCCACAUAUUAUUAGCGUAGGCGUUUUAUUAAGUGUGCAAUAUUUUCAACACUUCCUUGCAUGCCAUUUCAUGUGGAAUAUCUUUUCUGGUCACAAAUUUGUGCAGCGAAUCAAUUUGCAUGAUCGACUCCGGGCCUGUGGGACUGUUCACUUGCACUUGAUGCUGAGUGUUUUACAUGUAUCUAUAAACUGCAGAUAUGCACAUCAGAUCCCUGCGAGCAUUUUCAAAAUUCAAUUAUUUUAGGCAACACCCACAUAUGCAAUACUGACAUAAUCUGAAAUACCACUAAGCAGCUGGGACACAUUUUCGCUGACCAUACUCGCAGGUAAAAUAAGUAGAUCAUGUGGACAGCUUCAGCUCGUUUUCCUUAAAUCAGUGUGUACAAGGGGGUACGCAAAAAUAAUUUUUUUUCUCGCGCACCGAUAAUUUUGCUGUAUAAGCAAGAGAACCCACCACGUUAAUGUAACGUAUCUUGUACAUCACACUAAUAUAUGCUUUAAUUUACCAAGUGAGAUGAGUUACUUUUAUGGCUCAUUCAGUCAUAUCACACUGCAAGCUGCAUUCAUCAAUCUUCAAUUAGAUUUCGCAAAUGUUUAUGAAACAUGUUUUCCUUUCAUGCAGAUAUGCAAUGGCAAGCCCUUCCGUGUGUUCCAAAGACAAUGCCUACGCCUAGCCACAGCAGCUCCCUCAUACAGACUCCGCGAGCCAAGGGGCCGUGGAGGCAAAUGCAGGUAAGAGGCAAGAAGCAAUAGC
RNAcentral lists this long non-coding RNA (1253 nucleotides) under Dermacentor andersoni. Its description in RNAcentral is "uncharacterized LOC126529650". The record is from RNAcentral. Lineage: Eukaryota; Metazoa; Arthropoda; Arachnida; Ixodida; Ixodidae.